AUGCCGGUGACGGACUACCAGGGGGCGUCGUCCUCCCCGUCGCCCUUCUCCUUCGGCUCGCUCCUCUCGCUCCGCCGUGACCACACGGCCAUGGCGUCGGGCGAGGAGGCCGACCUCGAGGUCUUCCAGCGCCACCUGGCCGCCAACCUCGGGGACCUGCUGCCCGCGGAGGCGGCCGAGGGAGUGCCCGCGCAGGAGGAGAUCCUCUCCGUCGCCUGGAUCCGCCGCCUCCUCGAGGCCUUCAUCCUCUGCCAGGAGGAGUUCCGGGUCGUGCUGGCGCAGGCGCGCCGCCGCGGGGCGCUGCCGGCCGCGGCCGAGCGCCUCGUCGCCGAGUUCCACGAGAGGGCCGUCAAGGCGCUCGACGUCUGCAACGCGGCCCGCGACGGCGUCGACCAGGUGCGCCGCCUCGAGCGCCUCGCCGACAUCGCCGCCUCCGUGCUCCUCGCGCCCGGGGAGAUCCACGAGGGCCAGCUCCGCCGCGCCCGCAAGGCCGUCUCCGAGCUCUCCGUCCUGCUCGUCGACGACACCACCGCCGCCGCCAGCGGGGGCGUCGCCUCCUUCCUCGCCUCCCACCGCAACCGCUCCUUCGGCCGCGCUCGCGCGUCCCCGUCGCGCGGCUCGGCCACCGGCUCCUCCGCCGCCUCAUCGGCGUCCCAUUUCCGCUCCCUCUCCUGGAGCGUGUCCCGCGCGUGGUCGGCGUCGCGGCAGCUGCAGGCCAUCGGGGCCGGGCUGACCGCGCCGCGCGCCCACGAGGGGGGCCUCGUGGCGCCGGUCUAUGCCAUGGGCUGCAUACUCCACUUCACGGCGUGGGCGCUCGUCGCCGCCGUCCCAUGCCCGGACCGCUCCAGCGCGCUCCUGGCGCACCACCUGCCCGUGGCGCCAGCGCGCGCCGCAUUCCCCUGGGCGCCGCCUCUCCUCACCCUGCAAGAACGCCUGGCCGAGGAGGGGAAGCGCAAGGAGAGGCGCUCUUCCUGCGGCCUGCUCAAGGAAAUCCACGUGCUUGAUAAAGCCACACAGAAGCUCGCUGACGCCAUUGACGCGGCCCCCAUCCCGCUCUUCGGGGACAGGGAGGCCGACCUGCGGGAGGCCGCGGCGGAGCUCUCCGCCGUGUGCGCGGCCAUGAGGGAAGGGCUGGAGCCGCUGGAGAAGCAGGUGCGGGAGGUGUUCCACCGCAUCGUGCGCAGCCGCGUGGAGGGCCUCGAUUCCUCCAUGCACAAUGCUGAUUGA
This 1227-nucleotide ribosomal RNA is filed under the name Triticum aestivum (bread wheat). RNAcentral's name for it is "partial small subunit ribosomal RNA". The record is from RNAcentral. Lineage: Eukaryota; Viridiplantae; Streptophyta; Magnoliopsida; Poales; Poaceae.